AGAGUUUGAUCCUGGCUCAGGACGAACGCUGGCGGCGCGCCUAACGCAUGCUAGUCGAACGGAAGUGUUCAAUCGGAAGUUUUCGGAUGGAAGAGUGGACAGUUUAAUGGCGAACGGGUGAGUAACGCGUGAGUAACCUGCCCUUCAGAGGGGGACAACAGUUGGAAACUACUGCAUAAUACCGGCAUAACCCCCACGUGUGCCGCAUGGUACAGUGAGAAAAGGAGAAAUCCGCUGAAAGAUGGACUCACGUCUGAUUAGAUAGUUGGUGGGGUAACGGCCUACCAAGUCGACAAUCAGUAGCCGGACUGAGAGGUUGAACGGCCACAUUGGGACUGAGAGACGGCCCAGACUCCUACGGGAGGCAGCAGUGGGGAAUAUUGCACAAUGGGGGGAACCCUGAUGCAUCGACGCCGCGUGAAGGAAGAAGGUAUUUGUAUUGUAAACUUCUGUGUGCAGAUGACUGAAGAAUGACGGUAAUCUGCAAGAAAGCACCGGCUAACUACGUGCCAGCAGCCGCGGUAAAACGUAGGGUGCUAGCGUUGUCCGGAAUUACUGGGUGUAAAGGGAGCGCAGGAGGCAGUGCAAGUAGGAUGUAAAAUCUACGGGCUCAACCCGUAUAAGCAUUCAAAACUGUGCAGCUUGAGUGAAGUAGAGGUAGGUGGAAUUUAUUGUGUAGCGGUGGAAUGAGUAGAUAUAGGGAGGAACACCAUUGGAGAAGGAGACCUACUGGGCACCAACUGACGGUGAGGCUAGAAAGCAUGGGUAGCAAACAGGAUUAGAUACCCUGGUAGUUCAUGCCGUAAACGAUGAUUACUAGGUGUUGGAGGAUUGACCCCUUCAGUGCCGCAGUUAACGCAAUAAGUAAUCCACCUGGGGAGUACGACCGCAAGGUUGAAACUCAAAGGAAUUGACGGGGGCCCGCACAAGCAGUGGAGUAUGUGGUUUAAUUCGAAGCAACGAGAAGACCCUUAUCAGGUCUUUACAUCCGAUGCAUAGUGCAGAGAUGCAUGAAGUCCUUCGGGACAUCGAGACAGGUGGUGCAUGGUUGUGGUCAGCUCGUGUCGUGAGAUGUUGGGUUAAGUCCCGCACCGAGCGCUAACCCUUAUUGCCAGUUAGUACGCAAGAGGACUCUGGCGAGACUGCCGUUGACAUAACGGAGGAAGGUGGGGAUGAUCGUCAAAUCAUCAUUCCCUUUAUGACCUGGGCUACACACGUACUUCAAUGGCGUUUAACAAAGAGAAGCAAGUCCGCGAGGCGGAGCAAAACUCAGAAACAAUGUCUCAGUUCAGAUUGCAGGCUGCAACUCACCUGCAUGAAGUCGGAAUUGUUAGUAAUCGCGGAUCAGCAUGCCGCGGUGAAUACGUUCCCGGCCCUUGCACA
RNAcentral lists this ribosomal RNA (1383 nucleotides) under uncultured bacterium. Its description in RNAcentral is "16S ribosomal RNA". It matches the Rfam family "Bacterial small subunit ribosomal RNA". The record is from RNAcentral.